GACGAACGCUGGCGGCGUGCUUAACACAUGCAAGUCGAACGGAAAGGCCCUGCUUUUGUGGGGUGCUCGAGUGGCGAACGGGUGAGUAACACGUGAGUAACCUGCCCUUGACUUUGGGAUAACUUCAGGAAACUGGGGCUAAUACCGGAUAGGAGCUCCUGCUGCAUGGUGGGGGUUGGAAAGUUUCGGCGGUUGGGGAUGGACUCGCGGCUUAUCAGCUUGUUGGUGGGGUAGUGGCUUACCAAGGCUUUGACGGGUAGCCGGCCUGAGAGGGUGACCGGCCACAUUGGGACUGAGAUACGGCCCAGAAUCCUACGGGAGGCAACAGUGGGGAAUAUUGCACAAUGGGCGGAAGCCUGGUGCAGCAACGCCGCGUGCGGGAUGACGGCCUUCGGGUUGUAAACCGCUUUCGCCUGUGACGAAGCGUGAGUGACGGUAAUGGGUAAAGAAGCACCGGCUAACUACGUG
Molecule: ribosomal RNA, 468 nt
Filed under: uncultured bacterium
Lineage: Bacteria
Description: partial 16S ribosomal RNA
Rfam family: Bacterial small subunit ribosomal RNA
Source: RNAcentral